CCUACGAGUGGCAGCAGUGAGGAAUAUUGGUCAAUAGGCGCGAGCCUGAACCAGCCAAGUCGCGUGAAGGAUGACUGCCCUACGGGUUGUACACUUCUUUUAUCAAGGAAUAAAGUGUGGCCCGUGUGCCUUUUUGUCUGUAUUUUAUGAAUAAGGCUCGGCUAACUCCGUGCCAGCAGCCUCGGUAAUAAGGAGGAUCCGACCUGUAUCCGGAUUUAUUGGGGUGCAAGGGGGCGUAGAUGGGGUGUUAAGUCAAUUGUGAAAGUUUUCGGCUCAACCGUAAAAUUGCAAUUGAUACUGGCAGCCUUGAGUACAGGUGAGGUAGGCGGAAUUCGUGGUGUAGCGGUGAAAUGCUUAGAUAUCACGAAGAACUCCGAUUGCGAAGGCAGCCUACUAAACUGCCACUGACAUUGAUGCUCGAAAGUGUGGAUAUCAAACAGGAUUAGAUACCCGAGUAGUC
This 460-nucleotide ribosomal RNA is filed under the name uncultured bacterium. RNAcentral's name for it is "partial 16S ribosomal RNA". It matches the Rfam family "Bacterial small subunit ribosomal RNA", at positions 338 to 795 of the family's 1533-position model. The record is from RNAcentral.